UGACUUGGAAGAACUAGGUUCUACAGGCAUGCAGGUUCUCCGUAAGCAUCCUUAAAAACUUAGCGAAAGUUUCAAGUACUCCUUCACAGUCAACUUCACUGCUGCAGCCCUGGCAUAGCUGUCAGUAGAGCUACUUGGUGCUGAAAGAGUGCUGAAUCAACUCACUAGUAACAUACAGAGUGUGGCUGUACUUCCGCAGGGGACACAAUGUCUGUGCCCACUGCACACAGCAUCAUGUUCACAUGACAAAUCUGGAACAGAGCUGGCUUCCCUGCUAUCAAUAACUGGUUCAUCAUGGUGCUUCAGCUAACUGCCAAGCUCUCCAGUAGUAAUGGGAUAAAUAUAACCAACUGAAGGAACAGCACGAGUGCACGCAACAGCUUUGUCUUGCCAUUUCAGCUUUACGCUUGGAAAAAGGAAUGACUGUUCUGAACAACUAUCACAGCAGUUGCUGAUAUUAGCCUGACCUGUUGAUGUUGACAAGGUUUCCAAAGCAGACUUACAACAUCCCAAUGUAUUCAUGUUUUAUAUAUGUCAGCUUGUAAAUGGUUGGAACUUCCUUUUGACUUUACAAGAGGUCAGCAGUAAAUAAGCUACAGAAGCCAAAUUCUCUCUUGUAAUUGAUGCAGUUGACUUUCAGAUGA
This is a long non-coding RNA of Pezoporus occidentalis (night parrot), 644 nucleotides long. RefSeq lists it as uncharacterized. The transcript has 3 exons. The record is from RefSeq and is a predicted model, not a curated record. NCBI's taxonomy places the organism in Eukaryota, Metazoa, Chordata, Aves, Psittaciformes, Psittacidae.